CCCCUUGAGAGUGGCGAACGGGUGAGUAAUAUAUCGGAACGUGCCCAGUCGUGGGGGAUAACGUAGUGAAAAUUACGCUAAUACCGCAUACGAUCUAAGGAUGAAAGCGGGGGAUCGCAAGACCUCGCGCGACUGGAGCGGCCGAUAUCAGAUUAGGUAGUUGGUAGGGUAAAGGCCUACCAAGCCAACGAUCUGUAGCUGGUCUGAGAGGACGACCAGCCACACUGGAACUGAGACACGGUCCAGACUCCUACGGGAGGCAGCAGUGGGGAAUUUUGGACAAUGGGCGAAAGCCUGAUCCAGCCAUUCCGCGUGCAGGAUGAAGGCCCUCGGGUUGUAAACUGCUUUUGUACAGAACGAAAAGGUUUCUAUUAAUACUAGGAGCUCAUGACGGUACUGUAAGAAUAAGCACCGGCUAACUACGUGCCAGCAGCCGCGGUAAUACGUAGGGUGCAAGCGUUAAUCGGAAUUACUGGGCGUAAAGCGUGCGCAGGCGGUUAUAUAAGUC
Molecule: ribosomal RNA, 508 nt
Filed under: uncultured Comamonadaceae bacterium
Lineage: Bacteria; Pseudomonadati; Pseudomonadota; Betaproteobacteria; Burkholderiales; Comamonadaceae
Description: bacterial SSU rRNA
Rfam family: Bacterial small subunit ribosomal RNA
Source: RNAcentral